GACGAACGCUGGCGGCGUGCUUAACACAUGCAAGUCGAACGGAAAGGCCCUGCUUUUGUGGGGGGCUCGAGUGGCGAACGGGUGAGUAACACGUGAGUAACCUGCCCUUGACUUUGGGAUAACUUCAGGAAACUGGGGCUAAUACCGGAUAGGAGCUCCUGCUGCAUGGUGGGGGUUGGAAAGUUUCGGCGGUUGGGGAUGAACUCGCGGCUUAUCAGCUUGUUGGUGGGGUAGUGGCUUACCAAGGCUUUGACGGGUAGGCGGCAUGAGAGGGUGACCGGCCACAUUGGGACUGAGAUACGGACCAGACUCCUACGGGAGGCAGAAGUGGGGAAUAUUGCACAAUGGGCGGAAGCCUGAUGCAGCAACGCCGCGUGCGGGAUGACGGCCUUCGGGUUGUAAACCGCUUUCGCCUGUGACGAAGCGUGAGUGACGGUAAUGGGUAAAGAAGCACCGGCUAACUACGUG
This 468-nucleotide ribosomal RNA is filed under the name uncultured bacterium. RNAcentral's name for it is "partial 16S ribosomal RNA". It matches the Rfam family "Bacterial small subunit ribosomal RNA", at positions 28 to 507 of the family's 1533-position model. The record is from RNAcentral.